RNAcentral lists this ribosomal RNA (460 nucleotides) under uncultured bacterium. RNAcentral describes it as "partial 16S ribosomal RNA". It matches the Rfam family "Bacterial small subunit ribosomal RNA", at positions 29 to 507 of the family's 1533-position model. The record is from RNAcentral.
ACGAACGCUGGCGGCGUGCUUAACACAUGCAAGUCGCGCGGAAAGGCCCUUCGGGGUACUCGAGCGGCGAACGGGUGAGUAACACGUGAGUAACCUGCCCCAGACUUUGGGAUAACCCUCGGAAACGGGGGCUAAUACCGGAUACGACACAGCUUCGCAUGGGGUCUGUGUGGAAAGUUUUUCGGUUUGGGAUGGGCUCGCGGCCUAUCAGCUUGUUGGUGGGGUGAUGGCCUACCAAGGCGACGACGGGUAGCCGGCCUGAGAGGGCGACCGGCCACACUGGGACUGAGACACGGCCCAGACUCCUACGGGAGGCAGCAGUGGGAAUAUUGCACAAUGGGCGGAAGCCUGAUGCAGCGACGCCGCGUGAGGGAUGACGGCCUUCGGGUUGUAAACCUCUUUCAGCGGGGACGAAGCGUAAGUGACGGUACCUGCUGAAGAAGCGCCGGCCAACUACGUG